GAUGAGCGCUGGCGGCGUGCCUAAUACAUGCAAGUCGAGCGGUAAGGCUCCUUCGGGAGUACACGAGCGGCGGACGGCUGAGUAACACGUAGGAACGUACCCCAAAGUGAGGGAUAACUGCUCGAAAGAGUAGCUAAUACCGCAUGUGAUCCACGGAUUAAAGCUUUAUGUGCUUUGGGAACGGCCUGCGUUCGAUUAGCUUGUUGGCGGGGUAAAAGCCCACCAAGGCGACGAUCGAUAGCUGGUCUGAGAGGAUGAUCAGCCAGACUGGGACUGAGACACGGCCCAGACUCCUACGGGAGGCAGCAGUAGGGAAUUUUCCACAAUGGGCGAAAGCCUGAUGGAGCAACGCCGCGUGCAGGAUGAAGGCCUUCGGGUUGUAAACUGCUUUUAUUGGUGACGAUUAUGACGGUAACCAAUGAAUAAGGGUCUGCUAACUACGUGCCAGCAGCCGCCGCGG
RNAcentral lists this ribosomal RNA (460 nucleotides) under uncultured bacterium. RNAcentral's name for it is "partial 16S ribosomal RNA". It matches the Rfam family "Bacterial small subunit ribosomal RNA", at positions 28 to 523 of the family's 1533-position model. The record is from RNAcentral.